Molecule: ribosomal RNA, 465 nt
Filed under: uncultured bacterium
Lineage: Bacteria
Description: partial 16S ribosomal RNA
Rfam family: Bacterial small subunit ribosomal RNA
Source: RNAcentral
GACGAACGCUGGCGGCGUGCUUAACACAUGCAAGUCGAGCGAGGCCCCUCCUCUGUUAGGGUGUCCUAGCGUCGAACGCGUGUGUAACACGCGUGCAACCUGCCCUCAUCUCUUGGAUAACUCCUGGAAACCGUGGCUCUUACCCCAUACGACCUCCCCGGCCACCUGCUGGGGUUGAAAGUUUUUCGGCUGUGGAUGGUCCCGCGGCCUAUCAGCUAGUUGGUGGGGUAGUGGUCCACCAAGGCGACGACGGGUAGCCGGCCUGAGAGGGCGACCGGCCACACUGGGACUGAGAUACGGCCCAGACUCCUACGGGAGGCAGCAGUGGGGAAUAUUGCGCAAUGGGCGGAAGCCUGACGCAGCGACGCCGCGUGAGGGAGGAAGGCCUUCGGGUUGUAAACCUCUUUCGGCAGGGACGAAGCGAGAGUGACGGUAACUGGAGAAGAAGCACCGGCCAACUACGUG